Molecule: long non-coding RNA, 1422 nt
Organism: Malus domestica (apple)
Lineage: Eukaryota; Viridiplantae; Streptophyta; Magnoliopsida; Rosales; Rosaceae
Source: RefSeq, a predicted model, not a curated record
GUUGUACACUCUGAUAUUCAACUGAUGGACCAUAGGCCGGUCAAUCCAGUUGACCCAGUUGGUCUUCCAGUCCCACAGGCAUAGGCAUCAUCGACUUCUUCAGUGGCGUUGCCUGUUAGCGCCCGACAUACUCACCGGCGCCCCCGCACUACAGACCAAAUGUAGCCAUCGGGAUCCACAACUGAUGGCCCGGGUACAUGACAAGAAAAACACUUGGGGACCUUGUCAGCAAUUGAAGACGGCGAAGUAUCCUAAUCGGAUACGAUGAGCGACAUCGAGCACCAACGGCGGAGCAACAUAGUGCAUUGGCCCAUGACUUUGGGCAUGUCGUGCGGACCUUUUGCCCUAUGCGGUGGAAGUCUUGGAAGGCGAUGCCAGAGGAGACGAAGAACACAAGGCGCAACCAAUUGUCCGUAAGUAGCGUCGCCUUUUUAAUGAUUUUCAUGUAAAAUUUAUAUAUUUAUAUUUAUUAUUGUCUUUUAUUACUAAUACUUUCAAAAUAUUUAUUACAUUGCAAACAAACUACAAUUUGGAGGACAUGGACGAAGACAUGUUCGCGUACCUCAAUCGGCUAUUCUCCGAAUGCUACAAGCAGUGGAAGAGUGACCUGCACCAAUGUUUCCAGCAAUUUGAUGAUCCGUAGGUCACUCUCGAGGAAGGUUGUCCGAAGGAGUUGGAGGACCGACAAGAUAGACAGGUUUGGCUUUGCGGUCAUUUUCAAGAGCCGGGCUAUGCGAAGAAGGCGAAGGCGAACAAGAUCAAUCGGGAGAAGAAGAUUCUUCUCCACCAUUCGGGUUCGAGGCCUUUCUUUGAUAGGAUGGAGGUGCGAUGGAAGGUUCAAAAUUUCCAAAGAUCGACGUCUUUGCUAACGUUUAUGUUCAGCCUGGGAAUGAGUUGACCGAGUCCAUUCAUGUGACUAUGGUGGAGAAGGGUUAGUCGGUGCUUCAAGAGUUUAUCUCCCAGCUUCCCUCGGACACGCCGAUUAAGUCUGUGGAUCCCCCUGAGGAUGCAGGAUUUCACAUCGUCACAAAGACGUUGAACCAGACUUUUGGUCGGAGGCCAGGGACUUAUUGUCGGGGGAUGGGAAAUGCCAGGUGGCGGGAGAGCAGAGCCUCGUCAUCAUCGUAGUCAAGAGGCCAGGUUACGACUUUGACACAAGAAGUCACUGGCCUGAGGAGUGAGCUGGCAUCGUACAAGUCUCAAAUAUCGAUGCUUGUACAAGCCCUCAGUUCCUCCGGAAUACAUCUCUCGUUUUUUCUGCACCAUCGCCCUCACAACCCUUCCACACCGAGCAAGCACAGCAAUCAGGCCCGUCGACCUCCGACCCCGCCCCCAACCAGCAGCAAGAUCCUUCGAAUGACAUUCCUAUAGAUUUUCCCGCUUUUUUUCAUAGUUUUGUUCCUGCUUUCUUUUAAAACUUUA